UAAAGAGUUCUAUAACUCCCAAACCCAUGUGAACAUACCUAACGUUGCCUCGGCAGGUCGCACCUACCUUGUAGCACCCUACCCUGUAGGGCCUACCCGGGAGGUGCGGGUAAGCCUGCCGGCGGCCCACCAAACUCUGUUUGAUAUUGAAUUCUGAACCUAUAACUAAAUAAGUUAAAACUUUCAACAACGGAUCUCUUGGUUCUGGCAUCGAUGAAGAACGCAGCGAAAUGCGAUAAGUAAUGUGAAUUGCAGAAUUCAGUGAAUCAUCGAAUCUUUGAACGCAUAUUGCGCCCAUUAGUAUUCUAGUGGGCAGGACCGUUCGAGCGUCAUUUCAACCCUUAAGCCUUCGUUGCUUAGUGUUGGGAGCCUACGGCAACGUAGCUCCUCAAAGUUAGUGGCGGAGUUGGUUCACACUCUAGACGUAGUAAUUUUUUAUCUCGCCUAUUAGUUGGACUAAUCCCCUGCCGUAAAACCCCCAAUUUAUCAAGGUUGACCUCGAAUCGGUUCAGACAAACUCGCUAAAUUGAAGCAUCUUAGUCAGCGAAGGAAAAGAAACCAACAGGGAUUGCCCUAGUAACGGCGAGUGAAGCGGCAACAGCUCAAAUUUGAAAUCUGGCCCUCGGGUCCGAGUUGUAAUUUGUAGAGGAUG
This 652-nucleotide ribosomal RNA is filed under the name fungal endophyte. Its description in RNAcentral is "eukaryotic LSU rRNA". The stretch from base 179 to 332 matches the Rfam family "5.8S ribosomal RNA". Lineage: Eukaryota; Fungi. The record is from RNAcentral.